This is a long non-coding RNA of Pongo pygmaeus (Bornean orangutan), 321 nucleotides long. RefSeq lists it as uncharacterized. The record is from RefSeq and is a predicted model, not a curated record. The transcript is spliced from 4 exons. Lineage: Eukaryota; Metazoa; Chordata; Mammalia; Primates; Hominidae.
UACCCAGAAGGAUCCUGAAGGUCACAGAGGUUAUGCAGCCUGCCCAAGGUUACCCAGCUAGCAACUGGCAAAGCUAGGAGUUGCUGCAGAAUAGCAAGUCUAUCACCCACAAUGGCCACAAAUCAGAACAAAUGAUCAUUAUAAACAACCCAUGUAGACAGUUUUCUAUUGUAGGGCAGUGAUUUUUGAGUCCAUAGAUGGGCCAGUAGGAAGUCUAUACUGAAAUCAGCGUUGUGCCUGAUACGGAGAGGAAUAAAGUUAAUAGGAAGGAGCAAUCAGAAAGCUUUGGCUGAAAAGAAUUAUUUAAACCACUGGAGAAAA